RNAcentral lists this ribosomal RNA (422 nucleotides) under uncultured bacterium. RNAcentral describes it as "bacterial SSU rRNA". It matches the Rfam family "Bacterial small subunit ribosomal RNA", at positions 28 to 447 of the family's 1533-position model. The record is from RNAcentral.
GACGAACGCUGGCGGCGUGCUUAAUACAUGCAAGCCAACUGAACUUGAGGUAGUAAUAUUUCAAGGGAGGUGGCGCACGGGUGAGUAACACGUAGGUAAUCUGCCUUUAGGUCUGACAUAAUCCAGCGAAAGCUGGACUAAAAUCAGAUGAUGCAGCGGCUCGACAUCGAGACAGUUGUUAAACCUUCGGGGCCUAAAGAUGAGCCUGCGUCUGAUUAGGUAGUUGGCGGAGUAAGAGCCCACCAAGCCUUCGAUCAGUAGCUGGUCUGAGAGGAUGAUCAGCCACACUGGAACUGAGACACGGUCCAGACUCCUACGGGAGGCAGCAGUAAGGAAUAUUGCUCAAUGGCCGAAAGGCUGAAGCAGCAACGCCGCGUGGAGGAUGAAAUACUUUUGUAUGUAAACUCCUGUAAGAGGGAAAA